RNAcentral lists this ribosomal RNA (2001 nucleotides) under human gut metagenome. RNAcentral describes it as "bacterial LSU rRNA". It matches the Rfam family "Bacterial large subunit ribosomal RNA", at positions 1 to 2027 of the family's 2925-position model. The record is from RNAcentral.
GAAAGUAAGCAAGGGCAGACGGUGGAUGCCUUGGCUCUCGGAGGCGAUGAAGGACGUGAUAAGCUGCGAUAAGCUUGGGGUAGGUGCAAAUAACCUUUGAUCCCAAGAUUUCCGAAUGGGGCAACCCGGCUGGUAGAAGGCCAGUCAUUCCGUAAGGAAGGCGAACGUGGGGAACUGAAACAUCUAAGUACCCAUAGGAGAAGAAAACAAAAGUGAUUCCGCAAGUAGUGGCGAGCGAACGCGGAACAGCCCAAACCGAUGAUGUUUAGGCAUUGUCGGGGUAGUAGGACCACGUUGUGGCAAGAGAUUAAGGAAGUAGAACGUUUUGGAACAAACGGCCGUAGACGGUGAAAGCCCAGUAUACGACUCUUUAACGAAGCCUAGUGGAAUCCUGAGUAGCGCGGAGCACGAGAAAUUCUGUGUGAAUCAGCGGGGCCCAUCCCGUAAGGCUAAAUACUCCCGAGAGACCGAUAGCGAACCAGUACUGUGAAGGAAAGGUGAAAAGCACCUCGAACAGAGGAGUGAAAUAGUCCCUGAAACCGUCUGCCUACAAGCGGUCGGAGCAACGUAAGUUGUGACGGCGUGCCUUUUGCAUAAUGAACCUACGAGUUACUUUCUCCGGCAAGGUUAAGGGCUUCAGGCCCGGAGCCGAAGCGAAAGCGAGUCUUAAUAGGGCGUGAUAGUCGGAGUGAGUAGACGCGAAACCAAGUGAUCUACCCUUGGUCAGGAUGAAGGUUGGGUAACACCAACUGGAGGUCCGAAUGGGUAUACGUUGAAAAGUGUUCCAAUGAACUGAGGGUAGGGGUGAAAGGCUAAUCAAACUUGGAGAUAGCUCGUACUCCCCGAAAUGCAUUUAGGUGCAGCCUUUAUUUAGUAUAGCAUGAGGUAGAGCGACUGAUUGGAUGCGAGGGCUUCACCGCCUAUCAAGUCCAGAUAAACUCCGAAUGCGUGCUAUAUAUUGAUAAGGAGUGAGGGCGCGGGUGCUAAGGUCCGCGUCCGAGAGGAGAAGAAUCCAGACCAUCAGCUAAGGUCCCCAAAUAACAGUUAAGUUGAACUAACGAAGUCGGACUGCAGAGACAGCUAGGAUGUUGGCUUGGAAGCAGCCAUUCAUUUAAAGAGUGCGUAACAGCUCACUAGUCGAGGAGUCCGGCGUGGAUAAUACUCGGGCAUAAACUGUUUACCGAAGCUAUGGAUGUAGAAAUACAUGGUAGGGGAGCAUUCCAACGGCGUUGAAGGUGAAGGAUGACCUUUGCUGGAGCUUUUGGAAACGCAAAUGUAGGUAUAAGUAACGAUAAAGGAGGUGAGAAACCUCCUCGCCGAAAGACUAAGGUUUCCUGAUCAACGUUAAUCGGAUCAGGGUAAGUCGGGACCUAAGGUUAAGCCGAACGGCGAUACCGAUGGAAGAAUGGUUUAAUAUUCCCAUACUACUUUAUGGAGCGAUGUGGAGACGGAGAAGUGAAAGUCCUGCCAUCUGACGGAAUAGGUGGUUGAAGAGUGUAGAUGUAGAUUCCUGUAGGCAAAUCCGCAGGGAGAGUCGACCUUGACAGUAUGCCGCGUGCUUGCACAAGGCAAAAUGGACGUAAUCAGGCUCCCAAGAAAAUCCGCUAAGCAUAUUCAUAAAGUACCCGUACCGUAAACGGACACACGUAGUUGGGUUGAAAAUACUGAGGCGCUCGAGUGAUUCACGGUUAAGGAACUAGGCAAAUUGACCCUGUAACUUCGGGAUAAAGGGUCCCUACUGAGAGGUAGGGCGCAGAGAAUAGGUCCAGGCAACUGUUUAACAAAAACACAUGGCUGUGCGAAAUAGAAAUAUGAAGUAUACAGCCUGACACCUGCCCGGUGCUGGAAGGUUAAGAGGAGAGCUCAUCGCAAGAGAAGGCUCGAAUUGAAGCCCCAGUAAACGGCGGCCGUAACUAUAACGGUCCUAAGGUAGCGAAAUUCCUUGUCGGGUAAGUUCCGACCUGCACGAAUGGUGUAAUGAUCUGGACACUGUCUCAACCG